UACGGAGGGUGCAAGCGUUAAUCGGAAUUACUGGGCGUAAAGCGCACGCAGGCGGUCUGUCAAGUCGGAUGUGAAAUCCCCGGGCUCAACCUGGGAACUGCAUUCGAAACUGGCAGGCUUGAGUCUCGUAGAGGGGGGUAGAAUUCCAGGUGUAGCGGUGAAAUGCGUAGAGAUCUGGAGGAAUACCGGUGGCGAAGGCGGCCCCCUGGACGAAGACUGACGCUCAGGUCCGAAACCGCCUGGAGCUUACCGCAUCAGAUGGCCCCGUAGUCC
RNAcentral lists this ribosomal RNA (273 nucleotides) under uncultured bacterium. Its description in RNAcentral is "partial 16S ribosomal RNA". It matches the Rfam family "Bacterial small subunit ribosomal RNA", at positions 524 to 796 of the family's 1533-position model. The record is from RNAcentral.